GCGGAAGUGGCUCAGUUGGUAGAGCAUCACCUUGCCAAGGUGAGGGUCGCGGGUUCGAAUCCCGUCUUCCGCUCCA
RNAcentral lists this transfer RNA (76 nucleotides) under Actinomycetes bacterium. Its description in RNAcentral is "Actinobacteria bacterium tRNA-Gly". It matches the Rfam family "tRNA". From Rfam's summary of the family: Transfer RNA (tRNA) molecules are approximately 80 nucleotides in length. Their secondary structure includes four short double-helical elements and three loops (D, anti-codon, and T loops). Lineage: Bacteria; Bacillati; Actinomycetota; Actinomycetes. RNAcentral also lists the same sequence under 6 other names. The record is from RNAcentral.